AAAGUUCUAAGGUUGGAUUAUACAAUAUCUUUAGCUUCUCUAAAUGGAAUGUUGGAUUAUUUUCAUCCCAUUUCUCACCUUCAAAGCUUGAAGGCCUUGUAACAUCGACUUGACAAUAUAUGGUUUGAUGUUGCCCUCUCAAAUUCAUCAAAUCUGUUGAAGGCAUCUUUCAAAUUGAAAAAUUGGCUUUUUAAUUCUCCCUUUAGAAAUAAAGGAAAGUUUUAGUUCAUAACAUUUAGUUAUAUCAAUUGUUUAUUAAUAGUUCUA
RNAcentral lists this long non-coding RNA (267 nucleotides) under Prunus persica (peach). RNAcentral describes it as "long non-coding RNA (PPER_LNC004387)". The record is from RNAcentral. Lineage: Eukaryota; Viridiplantae; Streptophyta; Magnoliopsida; Rosales; Rosaceae.